This 273-nucleotide ribosomal RNA is filed under the name uncultured bacterium. Its description in RNAcentral is "partial 16S ribosomal RNA". It matches the Rfam family "Bacterial small subunit ribosomal RNA", at positions 796 to 1041 of the family's 1533-position model. The record is from RNAcentral.
CACGCUGUAAACUAUGGAUGCUAGGUGUUUGGAAUGACUGUUCAUUUCCUUCGGGAUUUGGACGGAAGUUCUGAGUGCCGCAGCUAACGCGUUAAGCAUCCCGCCUGGGGACUACGGUCGCAAGACUAAAACUCAAAUGAAUUGGCGGGGACCUGCACAAGCAGAGGAGCACGUGGUUUAAUUCGAUGGUAAUCGAAGAACCUUACCAGGGUUUGACAUAUACCUGCAAGCUUUAGGAAACUAAGGCCGCCUUCGAGGGUGGUAUACAGGUGC